GCAGUCGUGGCCUAACUGGUUAGGGCUUCAGGCUUAUAACCAAGGGUUGGCGGUUCGAUCCCCGACCAGUAGGA
Molecule: transfer RNA, 74 nt
Filed under: Alosa alosa (allis shad)
Lineage: Eukaryota; Metazoa; Chordata; Actinopteri; Clupeiformes; Clupeidae
Description: tRNA-OTHER
Source: RNAcentral